Molecule: unclassified non-coding RNA, 2438 nt
Filed under: Caenorhabditis elegans
Lineage: Eukaryota; Metazoa; Nematoda; Chromadorea; Rhabditida; Rhabditidae
Description: Non-coding transcript of protein-coding gene ehs-1
Source: RNAcentral
AUGGAUGAUUCAUACGCGAUAGCUACACCGCACAAUGAUGUUUUUAAUCACGCAUUCGCAGAGAUGAACCCUCACGGAGCACCAAGAAUAGGAGCUGCAGAAGCAGCUACUUUCCUUAAAAAAUCAAACUUGGCGAUGCCUGUGUUAGGCCAGAUAUGGGAGCUUAGCGACUCUCAAAAAGUUGGAUCAUUAGAUAAGAGAGGAGCAUUUGUUGCUUUUAAACUAGUCGCAGCUGCUCAACAAGGGAAGCCCGUCGCCAAUUCUUCCCUCUACGAUUCUUCCCUUCAGCCACCACGGUUUGCACCACCUGUACCACCAGCAAACAUGCAGCAUCAUUUCCAACCAUCGUUCCCAUCGGUUGGCCGUGCUCCUCCAGUGCCACCACCACCACAUCCAUCACAUCCUUAUUCGAUCUCUUCUCAACAAUCUUCUCCAGCUCAUCCAUCGUCAGCUUUUCCACCACAAUGGCCGAUAACACCAACUGACCAGGCUAAAUAUGACUCCAUCUUCCAAUCAUUGAAUCCUGUAAACGGAAAAUUGUCUGGUGCACACGUACGCCCGGUUCUGAUGAACUCUGGACUUGAUGCUCAUGCUCUGGCUCGAAUUUGGGAACUUUCGGAUCAGGACAAAGAUGGAAACCUUGAUCGAAUCGAAAUGUCUGUUGCACUUCAUCUUGUAUACCGAUCACUUCAAUCAGACCCGGUUCCUGCACAGCUCCCACCAAAUCUCAUUCAUCCUUCGAAAGCAAUGUAUGCUCACAGCUCACCGAAUUUCGCUGCUCCUCCACAUCCUCCACGUCCGAUGAUGGGAUCGAGAGCAGGAUCUGUGACGUCAUUGGAUGAUGUGAACAUGAGUCAAUCGUAUUCUGCAACGAUGCCACGUGCAUAUCCACCACAACCAGGUCGUGCUUACUCUGCACAGGCUCAUGUGAAUGGAUCACGAACCAGUGGUGCAUCAACUCCGAUAUCUGCUUCUCACUCGAUUCACUCAUUUCCUGCUGGUGAAUGGCCUAUCAAUACAGGAGAUUAUGCUGAUCAAUUUGCUCAAACUGAUACGAAUAAGGAUGGAUUGGUUGAUGGCAUGGAUAUGAGAGCUCCCAUGAUGACUACUGGAUUGAGUGCACAGAUAUUAGCACAUGUCUGGGCAUUAGCAGAUAUAAAAAAAUGUGGACAGUUGAAUUUGGAGCAAUUUGCUUUGACAAUGCAUCUUCUUGACAUGGCAAAACGAGGCGAGUCCAUCCCAUCAGAACUGCCUUUACAUCUGAUUCCACCUUCAUUCCGCCCACCUACGGAACCUUCAGCUUUGCAUCAUCCUGCUCAAUCAGUUUCAACUCCACAGCUCCCAGAAGCAACUUCGAUGGAAAUUAAAGAAGCUUUGGAAGGCGAAAACGAAGAGAUGAAGCAGCUCGCAGAGUCUAUUCAAUCAAUGCUGGUGGAGCGGAAAACUGCAGAAGAAGCUGUUUUACAACUAGAAGCUGAUAUGACUAUUAAGAACUCGAGUAUCAAAAAUCUGCAGGUUGAAUUGGCCACCUUGGAGUCGACAGUUAAACAGUUGGAGCGACAAAAAGGUGAAGCCACACGAAGAUUAGCUGAUUAUGAUACUCAAAUAGAACAGUUAGAAUCAGCAUGUAAAGCACAGAAAGAAACGAAAGAAGAUACCGAGAAACGAAUGCAACAAAUUGAUGAAGAUGCAAAGAAUGCUGAGGACUGUAAAGCAAAUGAUGAAAAAGAAAUGGAAGAAUUGAAAAAAGAAAUUGAAAUGCUCGAUAAUCAAUUCAAAACUGUUCGUGGAGAAAUUGUCAAAGAAACAUCACAAAGAGAGCAAAAGGUGGCCGAAUUGACAACUCUAGAACGAAAAGAAGCAAGAGAUCAGAUACAAAUGGAAAAGCUGGAUGCUGCAAUCGAGAACACGACAAAACUAACAGAACAAGUAUCAGAUGCAGUCGAAAAAUCCGAGGAGGAAAUGGUUCAAAUUCUGAGGUCGCAACAACGAUUAUUGUCUACUGUAAUCGAUCAAUCGUUGCUAUCCGAUGACACUGUUUAUGGAGAAACAGCUGGAACAUCAUCUCAAAAUCAUGUUCAACAACCACCUGAUCCGUUUGCAUCCGCCAGAGCAAAUCCUGCUGCUGAUCCAUUCGCCCAAGUAGAUCAGUUCGGCUCAUCUGGACAUUUUGAUGCCGCUUUCCCAACUGAUCCAUUUGCUCAAGGAGGCUUCCCAUCGGAUUCUGGCUUCGCACAAUCGGCUCCCGCAAAACCUGCUCCACCUCGCCCAGCUCCUCCAAAAUCUGCUCGCGAAACACCUGUCAAUGAUCCUUUUGCGUAAGUCUUAGUGAGUAUCAAUUUAUUUAAAGUCUAAAUAAUUUCAGCCCAUCACAAGGACAAUCAACUCAACCGGCUGGAUUCGCUGAUUUUGCGGACUUUGGAUCGGCUUUCAAUUGA